AAACAAGUAACUUUCGUAUGGCAAAUAUUGGUAAAAUUGAAAUAAAUUAAAUUUUCAUAUGCAUAAGUAAAUUUAGAUUUGGAGGGAGAAAUACAUUAAUUGGGAAGGUUUAAUGUUUAUGUAUUUGGAAUUUCUAAAUGUACUUUGAAUUCAAUUGUUCGCUUCUUUGAUUUCCAUCUUAUGAGUAGAAGCGAAAAAAAUAGCAAUGAGACAAUUCUCUACUUGUCG
Molecule: long non-coding RNA, 228 nt
Filed under: Panax ginseng (ginseng)
Lineage: Eukaryota; Viridiplantae; Streptophyta; Magnoliopsida; Apiales; Araliaceae
Description: long non-coding RNA (PGIN_LNC002090)
Source: RNAcentral